This 16860-nucleotide long non-coding RNA is filed under the name Panax ginseng (ginseng). Its description in RNAcentral is "long non-coding RNA (PGIN_LNC008234)". The record is from RNAcentral. Lineage: Eukaryota; Viridiplantae; Streptophyta; Magnoliopsida; Apiales; Araliaceae.
ACGAUUUGACCGAGAAACAUAAACAACAUAACAGAGAAAUUGGAUUGGAAAACUAGUUGAAUAAAAUAUCGUGUUCCCACUCAUUGGAUAUUUACCACAGCACUUCCCUAGUCACUUCCUAAAUGCCACUGAACGUACUAACUCCAUCGGCACAUCCUCUAUCACUAGCCACCUAUUCCCAACAAAACAUUAACUAAAACCUAGAUAUACAUUCAAAAUAGAUCUUUGUUUUGAACCUGUGUUGAGGCUUUCGUUAUGCUCACCUUGCUGGUCAGUUAAAGCUGGAUAUAAUCACUGUCCUCGUCAUCUGCAAAUAGAAAGGAGGGGAUCAUGCAAGUGACACAAAAUAGUAGCAAGUUAUUCAACUUUAAAGAACAUCAAAACCAUAAUCUGUUUUUUUCCUUUUAUUAUAGUUAUACCAAUACCAAUACCAAUACCAAUACCAAUACUAAGAAGAAGAAGAAGAUUAAUUCUCUGAGCUUUUCUGAAAAUGGCCACUUUCGUACUGUUAUCAUCAACCCAUGUCAUUUUCAAUUUGGGACCGGGGGCACUGUUAAAGUAAUUCUUUGUUCAAUUCAAAGAAGGAUACUGUGGGGUUUAAACAAAGUUCAGGAGGAGAUUGAAAAAGAGAUAGGUGGCUACUUAACAGUUAGGCCAUUGGUGCCAGAAGGCUAGAGUGGUGUCAUCAAACGAAGAAGAUGACACCAUAGAAUUCUUCCAAAGAGGCAAUAUGAGAGAUCAAAUCAUCUUGGAGAUAUUGUGAUUACUAUUUAGCUCUCGAGAGGAGAAAAUUCCUUCCCAAUCUAAAGCCAUUUUUCUUUUUCUCUAGACAUCAUAAUAUAGGAGUCUUCUCUUGAAACCAAACUAUCAAUAUUAUGAUGUUCCAGUGACAUCAUAGUGCUUUUGGUUCUUCCUGUGGCAACAAAUCGUCUUUCUUUCUUGUUAUCAGAGGCUCAUAGAAGAAAAAAGGGGGUUCUGCUCCAUCUGGACAAUUGGAAUAAAUGUCGGUUAUAUGGACUUGAUGAGCCUCCACUGAUGUAGGUGGAUCGCAAGGGUAGGAAUUCUACUCCAUUUCUGGAGUUUCUCUGUUGUUCAAGCUACUUGAGACUUCUGUGGUGGAUUUGUGGAGAUGGAUGUUUAGGCACAAGUCUUGAUAAGGGCACUGAGAUCCUUUCACUCGUGAUGAUUUUUGAUGAGUGGUAAGUCAAAUUGGGCUCUCUUGGGAAAGCAUUCAUCUGAUGGAACGGCUGCUGGUGGGCAUUGUUUCCUUCAUGGUUAAUUCCAAUACUUCAGCUGAUGAAAUGACUACUGGUGGACAUUGGAUCCUCCAUGGUUAAUUCCAAUACAACCACUUGGUCUUCCAAAAGUCUGAGAUGUGUUAUAACAAAGCUGGGUACAUGACCUUAAGCAUAUGCAGGUCAUGUGCAACUUAAAUCCCAUAAGCCUGUUGGACUUGGACCCCUCUGGUCAAGAUACCACCCUUGUGAAGCCUGAGCUGCCCUACCCUUCAAGCCCAUAAAUCCAAGUCCCUCAAACAGGUCCCAUAUGGAGGAGGCCUCCCUGAACCUUCUGUCAAGCUAGAUGAUGAACCGCGGACCGGCGGAUGCGGCAAUUGCCAUAUCCCCAAAAAAAGAGGGGGAGAGGGAGGAAAUUAGGGUUACAUCAGGCAAAGAGGGAGGAAAAAUACCUUUUAGGGCUGCUGCGGAAAAGAGAGGGGAAGAACAGAGGCUGCGAUUCAGGUACGUAUUCCAUAUUUCUCUUUCUUUUCUUCAUCUUUCUCUUUCGCCUCUUUCUUCUGUUUGCGUUUCAGACGGAGGAGUCGACAGGUAUUUUUUAUCCCUUUUCUGUCUUCAUAUGCAUAUUUGAUUUGUAUAGUGUGGCAAAAAUAGUCAUAUGUAUAUGGAUAUGGGCCAUACUUUGUGGGGCUCGAGUCUCGACGACCCAUGCCUUGGCCAAAGCCAGGGGCGUGGCCUCCCUUGUCUAAGCCAAAUUUCUUGUUUCCCCUCUUUCGCCUAAUUUCUUUUCAGUUGCUCAUACUUGGGUCAACCUCCUCGGGAAUUGCAUAGAUCAUAUAUGUUAAGCAAGGUCCACUUAUGUUGCUCUCCACUUUUAUUUCACAGGCAUACAGUCCACAAGUAGUAUUCCUCAUGCAGUCCCCCUCGUGCCAUUGUGAGAGGAAGCUUACAAAUAAGAAAUUUCUCAACUCCAAUUGGGCCCAAAAAGAAUCCAACCCAGCAACAAAAUACUUCAGGCUCAGUCUAAUUAAGUCUCUAGGACAUGUCUUUAUAUCAUUAUAUCGGGAUCAGAGUAAUAAAUUAUAUGGCUUUGGGGGAAAUUAGAGCACCCAAAGUCCAAUUUGCCUUAUACCCGUUAAACUAAACACAAUUGCAGACCAAAUAAAACUAAACACGCCAUCAGGCCAGUGAUAGACAUAAAUUUCAUGCAUUUUAUUAUUUCUAUUCUUGUUCAUUUAUAUUUUAAUUUAAUUUAAUCUUUAAUUAAUGAGUUUUAUCUUAUUUUGUACCAUUUAUAUUUUGUUAGCAAGAGUCAAAAUCUUAGUGAUCAAGCAAUAAUCACUGCUACAAUUCAUGAAAGGAAAGAAGCGUAGAAGAUUCCUCUGAAAGAAGUUUAUUGCCACUAAAAAAGAGAUGAAGUUAAAACCUACAAAUAAAAGACUUCAAGCCUUGAUGCCUAUAAAUAAAGAAGGCCAAAGCAAAAGGAGUUAAUUUUUUAGGUAUUAGUUUUAUCAAAUUUAGCAGCAGGAGUAGAAUUAAAAUUAAUCUUGUUGUUUUCUAUUAUCUAACUACCCGUCAAAGGAACUUAAAAAGAGUUUGUAUUUUUUUACUUUAUUGAAUGUUACUCUUAUUUUUUUUCUUCUUAUUUAAUUCAUAAAAGAAAGUUAUUUCAAUUCUUAUUUAGUUGUUUAGUUCUAGUUAUUUAGUUUCAUGUAAAUAGUAGUAGUAUUUUUAUUUCAAAUUAUACGGUCAACUAAAUUGUUAAAUCAAGAAUGAUGAUGAAGCUAAGUUACAUAUCUUUAUAAAUAUUCUCCAUCUUUUCUAUUAUUUGUGCUUCAAUGAAUUAUUGGUUUCACUUUUAUUUGCCAUUCUUGGAAUUCAUUCAUGCUUAAUUAUUAUGUAAUUUUUAAAUUGAUGGAGAGAUUUUGAAAAAUUAUUGUUAACAUGUGAAUUUUUAAUAGCCCAUGCUUGCCCGAGGUUUUGAUGAGUUAUUGUUAAUCUUUAAAUUUUCAAAAUCUAGCCCAAGUUAAUUAUAAAAGUCACCAAAUUAAAAAAGGGAGGUAGAUCACAGAUUAGUUUAAUAUGAGCUUUAAAUUUAUUUUGCGAACUUUUUAUACUUAGCAACUGGCAUAGUUUGAGUUAUAAAAAGAAAAUGAGAGAAUAUUUGUUAUGAAUGUUAUUUCGUGGAUCAUAUUCCUAAAUUACUUUUUCAUUAAUAGUUUUCACCUUUAACUAGCUUAAAUAUUAUUUUUUAUUUAAGUUCAGUUACCCAUCUAUUCCAUCUUUGUUUCUAAUUCAUCUGAAUUGAGACCAAGAAUAUAUUAAAAGAAAAAAAAGUAAACUAGUCUCUGUGGGUUUCACUUUUACUUUAUGCUCUUCAAUUUCACAUUGUGUACUAGCAGUCUUCAAAUUUACACAUCAGCCAGUUUUAAGUAACAUUUUGUCGAGUUUGAAAAGAAAUCUUGAAAAGCAUGGGUAGGAUGCAGCAUUUUGCUUCAGAUCCAGUGUCGAAGCCACUAAGAUGGGACCAAGUACGAGGCUUGGAUUUUCAAUUUUAAGGUAAAGAUAGCAGCUUCACAGUUGCAUAAAUUGGAGGAGAAAGGUUAUAAUUAAGUCAAGGAUGGAGAUUGUAUUCGUUAGCUAUUUUGUAAGGUGGCUGGUGGUAGAUGAAGUCAGAAUUGAUCAGGGAAAUUUUGAGUCAGAAGAUGAAAGUCUGAAAAUCCAUUUUUCAUUGUUAUUGCAUUGCAGCCUUCUAUAAGAAGUUUUUGCCUUUUAGGAUGAGGUGGUCCACCUUAGACUUAUACCUGAGGGCUUGAUUUGGCUUCAAAGUUUAGAUGUGGUGAAGGAUGAUCAGUUUUCAGUGUUUUAAAGGAGUUCUUUGCAAAUGGGUUUUCAAGAAGAAUACCUUUGUUUCGGUAAUAGUAUUAAUUAAAUUUUCAUAAUUCUCAUCCCUAAGAACGAAUAUUUCGUCUAAAGGAUUUUAGUCCUAUUAGUUUUUUAACUAGCGUGUACAGGUCAUUACCAAGACUAACUAAAAUUGUGUGAGAUAGUAAGAUAUGGAUCUCAUAUUACCUGAUUAUUUGAACCAAUUUGUGAUUUUGGUCCAUAUUAUACACCUGUACAAGUGCCUAGUUACUUUACUUUAUUUUUACCGGCUACAAAAAUUUCAAGGAGAGUUGCAAUAAAUGCGCUUAUAAGGGCUAAUAUAUCUAGUUGUUUAACAUGUAUAAUGUUAUCUUGCAUACUUUAAUUUACCAUGCUUGAAUCUCAUAGAAGUAUGUAAGUUAAGUUCCUCCUCCCCCAUCCUAGGGAAAAGGGAGUGGGGUGAGAAAAUUAAGUAUAUAAACAAAAUCUUUGAACUGUUUACUGGCUUAAUUACUGAAACUAAAAGGACAUUCCGACUUGCUUACAUAUAUACCGAGAACACAGAAGUUAACAAACAAUGAGAAACAGAAGCACAGUAAUAAAAAAAACUAAAAAAUCGUACCUUCAUGGACUUCAUCGUUUUGACUGUCAUCAUGGACCUCCACAUCAUUAUCAUCUCCGUCGUUAUCACUGUUAUCAUUGUCAUCGUCAUUAUCUGUAUGUUCUGUAUCAUCCCCAUCACUUUCAACAGGUAUUUCAGGUUUCGGAGGUGGAACAAAACUGGUUGUGGACCUUCUACGAGAACUUGAAACAAUGUUUCUCGUAUCAAUUCCUUCAAGUUCUUUUGCUCUUUCCUUUUUCUUUCUGACUUCUUUGAUUUCUAAGCAUAAAAAUCAUGUGGUGUCACUUUAUAUAUAAAACGGAUGCAUCUUCAAUGAAUAAUAUCUAUACUAUCUGAUUAUGCGUGAGAAGAUGACAUUUCUCAGAAUCACAAAUACUGAUACAGGAAGAUAUGUUAAGUAAUUAAAUUAUAACACACUUAUAUGUGUGUGCGUGUGCGGGUGCCGGUGCGGACGCGGGUGCGUGUUAUAAAACAAUUAAGAGUGGUAUUUCACCAAUAUGAAUGAUAUGGAUAAAAUAUGAUUAUGCAUGAGAAGAUGACAUUUAUCGGAAAUUACAAUUGAUACGGGAAGAUACGUUACCUAAUUAAUUAUAACAUAUACUAUUGUGUGUGUGUUGUGUAUUCAUAUGCACACAUGCACACAUGCACACACGCGCACAACCUCUUUAUAAUCAUUAGCGGUUUAAGAUCCUAGUCAAGUGACUCAAUUGCUUGAACACACAAUUUGUAGCUUUUUCUUGAGCAUGGAAUGUCUGAGGAUGGGAAGGAACAUUUCGUGAAUUCGGUCUCUAUAAUGAUCACGAAAAUCGGUUAUCCUUGUAAUUAGGAUUGCAAGUAUUUAAUUAAUAAAAUAAAAUUUUAUUACUUAUUAUGAUGUGCUAUAUGAUGUAAGGUCGAAUAAUGACCUAGUUUAUGUGUUAUGUGAUUAUGUAUGUGUUGCAAUUUCGUAGACAAAAAAUAAAAAAAUUCGAGAAAUAUGCUAAAACACUAUUCAUAAAACGCAGAAAACGUUUUUUCGUGUUUUAGACUUUUCGAAUUACGCAAUAGCAUUUUUUCGAGUAUUAGAGACGUAAUCUCUAUUUAAACGUUAAAAACGUAAAAGUCAACUUUUCGACUAAUCAGACAAGUUACGAAACCUAACUAGAAACGUAACUAGAAGCUAAUCGGAUGACAAAAGCUAAAAAGGGGCUUGGCCAAGGGGGAAUGCCCGACCAUUAUGGCUAGGGGGGAAGGACAAGGGCUAGGAUUACCAUUUAUGGUUAAGUCUUGAGCCAUUACAAGCAACAAUUAACGCUAAGCAAAUAAGUCUUAAUUUUAAUUAUUUUAAUCUAACCUUGAUUAGCCUAUGUGUGGGUUGAUUAAGGAUGAUGAGGGGAUGGUAGGAUGAUGAGGGGAUGGUAUGUAAGAGUUAGGAAGUAGAGGGGUAAGACUAGGAGAAGACCUAGUGGAGUGACCAACUUGUAAGCAUAUAAAAGUAGGUUUUAUAUAUAUUAAAACCUCCAACACCGAGUCAUUUUCAUCAUUUGCUACAUAAGAAAAGAAAGAGCAAGAGAGAAUAGAGAGAAAAGAGAGAGGGUUCGACAAAGAGGAGAGGGAGAAGAAGCUAGCAAGCAAACUUGGAUCAUCAAGUUUAAGGAAGAAGAAGAAGCAAGAACCAAGAGGUAAACCUUGAAACCCUAGCUAUUCAUCAUCUUCUUUCAAGCUUUUGAUAUAAGUUUUUAUGGUGGUUGUGGUUGGUUUGUGGUGGAUCAUGAAAGAUCCUGGAGAAAAAAGGUAGUUGUGGUCUAUAUACUUAUAAACUACCAGUAAUAUGGAUGAAAAGUGUAAACAAAAAUUAAAAACGUAAGCCUAAGCGUAAAGUAUGGAAAACUAUACAGAGGAUUGUAAUUGAACUUGAGAAAUCGCUAUUUCGUAAGACAUAUAUUGAAAUUCGAGAAGGGAAUAUAUGUAUGUGUUGUGAAAAUGUUCCAAUUGGAACAGAGUAAAAAUAUGUUAUAACGAAGUUAUGGCGAAAAUUUUAGUAAAGUAUGUUAAAAGUCGAAAAACCUAGCAUGGUACGACUUUCGGGCCAAUUUUAUGAGCCGUAAGCUCAAGAACGAACUCAAUCAAACUUCAGAUGAGCAAGUUACGAUGAUUUGAAAAACCGAUAUUAGAAACAUCAUAUUGAAAAACUAGUCAACGAAGAAUUUUUGAGCCACUGUUUUGGCUUGAUAACGAAUCUAGAAAAAUUUUCCAUUCAGGGGGAGAUUUGUAGAGGAUGUUACGAGCAAGAAAAUGGCUCAAGAACAGCGCAUUCUGAUAUCAGAUGAGCGAGUUAUGAAGUUGCUUAGUUGUGAUGACGAAGCAAAAAAAAUUCGGAAAACUGAGUGUUGCAAUUCUGCGUUCGCAGAAUGUAUAGCGCAGCUGCGCUGCCCAUGAGCGCUGCUGGCUGGGCAGAGCACAGCUGCGCUGGGAGGGGUCAGGGCUGGCCUUGGCAAGGCCAAGUCUAGACAGGGUUGUCCGGGGCGAACGUGUGGUGUGUUGUGAAAUCGAGCGUGAGACGCGUUGAGUUUUCUAAACUUCGUAACGUUAGGCCAUACUUAUUAGAUAGCUUUGAGUUCUAAAGAACCUCAAGGAUGUGUUGUAAGAUAAGAUGAACCAUCGUAAAAGAGUAUUAGGAAGGUCGUGUCUUUCCCGAACGUCACGGCGCCGAGCGAGAUUAAUAAAGUUUGGACGCGUUAACUAAAUUAUCAAACGAGAACACUAUGAACUGAGAAUUAAGAUAACUUAAAUCAAUAUAUGAAGUCGAUAUGUGGCAAAUUGGUGUGUUAUCAUGAAUGAAUUGUGUAAGCUAUUUGAAGAGCAAGUUAGAAAGUACCCUAAAUUCGGGUUUGAAAGUACCCGAAUUUGGAGGCGUCACUGGUUGGUAUCAAAGGCUGUAAGUUAUUAACCUUAUGUGGGAGAAAAACCUUAGGAUAUAACCUGAGACAAGUAAGAAUAGUUGGUGAAAAGAUAAACUCAGAUAGAGUUUUAAGAGAUGAAUUGAGAAAAUUCAUCAAAAGAAGUAAAAGUAACAUAAAAUAAAUUGUUAUUUGUGAUAAUAAAUGUGUAUAUUGUGAUGUGCUAAUCAGGUUAAAAUAAAUUUGAUUGUAGAUGUCAGGAGAUGAUGAUGUUAGGAGAUGAUGAUGUUAGGGAUGUUCAUGUAGUGAGCGAUGAGCUGAUCGCUCCACCCGAGCUAGCACCAGAGGCAAUACCCGUAGUGCCAGCUGAAUUUGAUCUGGAAGAAGAUUCGAAAGAGGAUCCUGAUGAGGAAACUCUUGAGGAGCCAGUUGGUGAGGCUCAACCCGUAGUGCCAGCUGAAUUUGAUCUGGAAGAAGAUUCGAAAGAGGAUCCUGAUGAGGAAACUCUUGAGGAGCCAGUUGGUGAGGCUCAACCCGUAGUGCCAGCUGAAUUUGAUCUGGAAGAAGAUUCGAAAGAGGAUCCUGAUGAGGAAACUCUUGAGGAGCCAGUUGGUGAGGCUCAAGGUGCACCAUCUGAAGCUGUAUCAUCGGAGGAAUCGGAGGAUGGUUAUAUUAAUCCCGAGAUUCAGGAAGCACUUACCCAAUUAGGAGUGUUGGUUCACCAUUUGGUGGACAGAAACACUGAGUUGAACAUUAGGUUUAAUAAUGCAGAGAACAGAGUGCAGGAACUCCAGGUGGAGACGCAUGCACUGAAUAACUAUUCGGACGAAGAAAUUUUGAAUCGGUAAAGGGCUGAAGAUUAUGUUCGUGACCUCGAGCAUGAGGUGAUGACGAACAAGAGGAAAAUUGACAGGAUGAAUUAUGCUUAUACAACGUCGAUGGAGCGAGGUCAAGACAGGGUAUGGUUUUACCCUGAAGAGAUAGGACAGACCCGUCAUGCAAUUAGUCGAGGCCGUGUGGUUGCUAUUACCACAGAAGAGCGUACAGACGCUAUUGCUAGAGGACUAGCAUAGUAUAGUAAUGAUGUAUAGGUUUAUUAUGUAUAUAAGUAUUUAUAUCUGUUUAAUGUGAAUCCCAACUUUUGUAUAUCUAACGGGAUAUCUUUUGUAAAUCCCAUCUUUUUGAAAGUAAUAGAGGGAUAAUAUGUAAAUAGCAAGGCUAUGGAGGAGUAUGUAAAAAGUAUAUUAAUAUAAGAAUGAUUAUUAAAUGAGCAUUGUGACGAGUAAUAAUUUUAGCAUUAAAUAAGUGCUUUAAAAUAAAAAAUGAAAUAAUAAUAACGUUAUUUUAUUAACAAAAAAAUGCCGCCAAGAGGAAGACCUAGAGGACAAAGAAAUUAAGAAGAAGAAUCUCGUAAUGAGAAUAGGGACCAAGCUAACCCUAUACAGCAGUUUAUAGACCUCUUAUUAGGGGCUUUUAAUCGAAACCUUGUCGGAGUAAAUGUUAAUCCUCCACCUUUGCCAUUGGCAAGCUUUAAGGAUUUCAAGAGUGUGGGACGGCCAGAUUUUGGGGAACCACCGAGCCAAUAGAGGCUCAAUCCUGGAUAAAGGAGAUAGAGAAUGCAUUUGUUAUUGCUAGAGCAAGUGAGGAGCAAAAGACGGCUUUUGCUACUUACAUGUUGAGGGGUGAAGCCAACUUCUGGUGGGAGGCAAACCAAAAUAGGGUUGGGAAGGAAUAAUUACCUGGAAAAGAUUCAAGGAAUUAUAUUUCGAGAAUUAAUUUCCCAGAAGUAUGCAGAGCCGAAUUGAGAUGCGGUUUCUGGAUUUUAAGCAAGGGGACAUGACUGUGCCCCAGUACGUAGCCAAAUUCAAUGAAAUGGCUAGAUUUGCUCCACAUCAAAUGGACAUGGAAGAUAGAAAGGCUAGCAGGUUUGAGCAGAGCUUGAAACCCUGGCUCUACAGCAAACUUGUCGGUGUUACAAAUAGAUUCGUUUGGUACGAUUCAAGAGAAGGAUAUCAUAGCUGAUGGAGGAAGUGAGGCAUUGAGCCUGUAUAAUAGAGGAAGAAUAAGAAUAAAACGGAAGGAGCAAAAAAGUUGAGGGAGGCAGUGGAAGUGGAGGAAAUAAAAGAAAAUGAAAUAAUUCCGAGAAUACCGAGAAUAAACAAGGAGACCAGAAGAAAAGAUUUGAAGCAUGUAAGACAUGCGAGAAGAAUCACACAGGAGUAUGUUUAAAGGGAAAGGCGGUAUGUUAUAGCUGCGGGCAAGAGGGAUAUAUCUCCAAAUUGGCCCAAUCCGAAGAAGGGUGUGUGUUUUAACUGUGGAGGGUUAGAUCACCUAGCAAGGAAUUGCCCGAAGAAGAGAGCCAACGGGGGAAGCGGCAACAAGGGAAAUAGUAGUGUGAAGCUGACAAUAACUGGUCCAGCUCCACCGAAUAGACCGACUGCAAGGUCUUUUAACAUGAUGGUCAAAGAUGCAAUUGCAUCCGAAGAUGUAAUCUCAGGUAUCGUCCUGGUUAAUGAUAUUAAUGCAUAUGUAUUGUUUGUUUCGGGUGCGGCCUGUUCUCUCAUAUCACAUGAAUUUGCUAGACAUUUAAGUUUACCUCUAGAGAAUCUAAAGACUCCUUUGAACAUUGAAGUUGCGAAUAAGGAAGUAAUCCAUGUUGAAUAUAUAUAUAAAAAAAUUGUUGCGUUAAGAUACGAAAACGUGAAUUAUUGGUAGACUUAAUUCCAAUUUAAUUGGGAGAAUUCGACGUAAUUCUAGGAAUGAAUUGGUUGUAUAACCACGAGGCAAUGAUAGAUUGCCAGAAGAAAAUUGUAAACCUUAAGACUUCUUAGCAAUCUAAGGUAGUGUUACAGUAGUAAAUCGUCGAGACAUUCUUAUUAUCAGACGAAGAUGCAAGCUAGAAAGCUAUUGAGAAAAGAAUGUGGGUUAUUUAGCCUAUGUUGUAGAUACCCAACGAUUGGGAGCAGAGAUGGGUCAGAUACUCAUAGUAAAAGAAUUCACGGAUGUUUUUCCUAAUGAAUUGUUAGGUAUUCUACUAGACAGGGAGAUCGAGUUUGUUAUAGACGUAGUACCAGGGACGACACCAAUUUCGAGGGCACUAUAUAGAAUGGCGCCAGCAGAGAUGAAGGAGUUGAUUCAACUUCUGGACAAGUAUAUUCAACCGAGUGUGUCUUCAUGGAGAGCACCAGUGUUGUUUGUGAAGAAGAAUGAUGGAUCGUUGAGGCUUUGUCAUGGAGAGCACCAAUGUUGUUUGUGAAGAAGAAUGGUGGAUCAUUGAGGCUUUCUAUCGACUAUCAGGAGUUGAACAAAGUAAUGAUUAAGAAAAAGUACUCAUUGCCUAGGAUUGAUGAUCUUUUUGAGCAAUUGAAGGGCGCAAAGUAUUUUUCUAAAAUAAAUUCAAGGAUUGGGUAUCACCAAUUGAAAAUAAGAAGUGAAGAUGUACCUAAGACAUCAUUCAGAACUCGUUAUAGUCAUUACGAAUUUUUGGUGAUGUCGUUCAGGUUGACUAAUGCUCCUGCAACAUUUAUGGAUAUGAUGAACAGAGUGUUAAAAUAAUAUUUGGACAAGUUCGGAGUUGUGUUCAUAGAUGAUAUCCUGGUCUAUUCUAAGACGUAAGAGGAUCAUGAUGAACAUUUAAGAAUAGUGUUGAAAACACUAAGAGAAGUUGUAUGUGAAAUUCACUAAAUGUAAAUUUUGGCUAGAAAGGGUUCAAUUUUUGGGCCACAUAAUCGACAAGGAUAGAAUAUACGUAGAUCCAGCGAAGGUGGAGACGGUAAUUAAUUGGGAGCAGCUUAAGACGCCAACGGAAAUGCGUAGCUUCUUAGGGUUAGCAAGCUACUAUCGGAGAUUUAUUCAAGAUUUUUCGAAGAUAGCUACCCGUUGACAAAUUUGAUAAGGAACACGGUGAAGUUUGUAUGGUCGGAGAAAUGUGAGUGCUUUCAGGAGCUCACGAAAAGAUCGUGUGGCGCCUGUGUUGUCUUUACCAGAUGAUACAGGUAAUUUUGUAGUAUAUAGUGAUGCAUCACAUAAGAGACCUGGAUGCGUGCUUAUACAAUACGGUGAAGUCAUUGCUACGCGUCACAACAAUUAAAGGAUUACGAGGGGAUACCCUACUCAUGACUUAGAGUUAGCAGCCAAUGUGUUUGCCUUGAAUAUUUGAAGACACUAUUUAUAUAGUGGAAAAUGUGAGAUAUACAUGGACCAUAAAAGUCUGAAAUAUAUCUUCACAUAGAAGGAGCUAAAUAUGAGAAAGAGGAGAUGGCUAGAACUAAUCAAGGACUAUGAUUGUGAGAUUCUAUAUCAUUCGCGAAAGGCGAAUGUGGUGGGGACGCCUUAAGUAGAAAGGAUCGGGACAAAUUGUCAAUGUUAACGGCUCAAGAAGAGCUUAUAAUAUAGAUGGCUAUAAUGGAGUUAGAGGUGAGAUAUCCGAGAGAGUCUGAUGAAAAAUUAUUUAUGGUGGAGACUCGUCCAACGUUAUUGGACAAAGUGAAGGAAGCACAACUCAAAGAUGAGGAAAGUGAGAAAAUGAGGAAAAGAUUUUUCGAAGGUAAAGAAAUUAAGUUUAAACUCGAUAACGAGGGGUUUUUGAAAUUUGAAAGUAGAAUAUGGGUUCCGUUGAUAUCGGAAUUAAAAGAAGAGAUUUUGCAAGAUGCCCAUUGUUCGAGGUACUCAAUUCAUCUGGGGAGUACGAAAAUGUAACAAGACCUCCGACAACAUUUUUGAAGGCCGAAUAUGAAGAAAGAAAUCGCAGAAUGCAUCAAAGACCGAGCGAUUUGCUAUAACCCUUGGAGAUUCCAGAAUGAAAGUAGGAGCAUAUCACAAUAAAUUUCGUGGUAGGACUUCUAGCCACGCACAAAGGAUACAAUGCUAUAUGAGUUAUAGUGGAUUGUUUAACCAAAUCGGUGCAUUUCUUAACGAUUAUGAUAAGGUUGAAUUUAGACCAAUUAGCUAAACUUUAUGUCAAGAAAAUCGUUUCCAGAAAUGGAGUGCCAAUUUCAAUCGUGAUCCGCUUUUCACAUCGAAUUUCUGAAAGAGUUUGCAAGAGUGCAUGGGAUCACAGUUGAGGUUGAGUACGACAUUAUCAUCAAACAGACGGACGGAACAAAAGAACGAUACAGACUCUAGAAGAUACGCUAAGGGCAACGUUAUGGAUUUUAAAUAGAGUUGGGAUGAGUACGAAAAUAAGUGUAGAACGCCACUGUGAUGGGACGAGGUGGGGGAACGUCGAUUGCUUGGACCGGAAUUGGUUCAGUAAACUGCAUAAAUAAUCAGAACAACAAGGUCAAGGCUCAUAGUAGCUCAACACCAAUAGAAGAAGUAUGUUGAUCAAUAUCGGCAGAAGAGAGACUUUGACGUAGAUAGCUACGUGUUUUUGAAAGAAUCUCCCUGCAAAAGGAAGAUAAGAUUUGGAAAGGAAAGGAAAGCUAAGUCCAUGAUUUUUUGGACCUUUUGAAGUUUUGUGAAGGGUAGGAGAGGUGGCUUACAAAAAAGCCUUACCUCCCAAGUUAAAACAUAUACAUAAUGUUUUUCAUGUGUCAGAAUUACGACAAUAUGAGCAAGACUAUAAGCAUGUAAUUAAAUAUAAACCUAUUCAGGUUGAAAAAGACUUAACGUAUGAAAAAAUUCAUAUUUGAAUAAUUGAUAGAAAGAGAAAAUUUUGAGAAGUGAGUAAUACUUUCAGUGAAGGUAGUGUGGAGGAACCAUAAUGCCGAAGAAGUAACAUGAAAACUAGAAAAUAAAAUAAAAAAAAAUUUAUCCCCAUCUUUUUGUUUAACGUUGUUUUGUGAUUUUGGGGACGGAAGUGGGGGAAGAAUGUAAUAAUCGCCAAGACGGAUUAUCCUUGUAAUUAUGAUUGUAAGUAUUUAAUUAAUAAAAUAAAAUUUUAUUAAUUAUUAUUGUGUUAUGUGAUGUAAGGUCGAAAAAUGACCUAAUUUAUGUGUUAUGUAAUUAUGUAUAUGUUUUGCGGUUUCGUAAACGAAAAUAUAACUUUUCGAAAAAAACGCUAAAACACUAUUCAUAAAACGCAAAAAAAAAGGUUUUUCGUGUUUUCAACUUUUUGAAUUACACAAGAGUAGACCUGGCAAAAGAGGCCCAGGCCUGCGGGCCGGGCGUUGGGCUUCAAUUCUUUAGCCCAUGAAAGUGUGGGCCUUUUUGGCCCGGCCCGCGGGUGGCCCGGCCCAGCCCAGCCCGUGGCCCUCAACUUUUUUUUUAAAAAUUAAAAUGUUGCUACUUGUGGGUUGUGAGGCUUGAACACAAGACUUGUAAGUAAAUAAAUAAGAGUUCAAACCAACUGAACUACAACAACUAUUUGUUUUUAAUGCAAUCUUUAAUAUAUUUUAACUAUAAUUAAGACAUGUAGUUAAUGUAGGUAAUUAAUUAAUAAUACUAAUUUAUAAUACUAUUAAAAUUUUAAUUGAUUGAGAUAUGUAGUUAAUGUAGGAAAUUAAUUAAUCGUGUUUGUAGCUUUAUUCUUUGUUGUUCGUUUUAUUAUUUUUAAUAUUUAUUAUUAUUACUAUUUCUGGUGUAAGAAAGAGUUUACAAAAAAAAAAAUUUAAGGGAGAAUCCCGCGGACCAGGCCGGCCCAACCCGGGCCACGGGCCUCACAUUUCCAGCCCACCAAAACCCGGGUCAUUUUGGCCCGGCCCGCCCGUUUUCCAGAUCUACACAAUAGCAUUUAUUUGAGGAUUACUGAUGUAAUCUAUAUUUAAACGUUAAAAACGUAAAAGUCUACUUUUCGGUUAAUCGAACGAGUUACAAAACGUAACUAGAAGCUGAUCGGAUGACAAAAGCUAAAAAGGGUUUGGCCAAAAGGGAAUGCCCAACCAUUAUGUCUAUGGGGGGGNNNNNNNNNNNNNNNNNNNNNNNNNNNNNNNNNNNNNNNNNNNNNNNNNNNNNNNNNNNNNNNNNNNNNNNNNNNNNNNNNNNNNNNNNNNNNNNNNNNNNNNNNNNNNNNNNNNNNNNNNNNNNNNNNNNNNNNNNNNNNNNNNNNNNNNNNNNNNNNNNNNNNNNNNNNNNNNNNNNNNNNNNNNNNNNNNNNNNNNNNNNNNNNNNNNNNNNNNNNNNNNNNNNNNNNNNNNNNNNNNNNNNNNNNNNNNNNNNNNNNNNNNNNNNNNNNNNNNNNNNNNNNNNNNNNNNNNNNNNNNNNNNNNNNNNNNNNNNNNNNNNNNNNNNNNNNNNNNNNNNNNNNNNNNNNNNNNNNNNNNNNNNNNNNNNNNNNNNNNNNNNNNNNNNNNNNNNNNNNNNNNNNNNNNNNNNNNNNNNNNNNNNNNNNNNNNNNNNNNNNNNNNNNNNNCUUACCAAUUUUGGUAAGUCUUGAGCCAUUAGAAGCAACAAUUAAUGUUAUGCAAAAAAGUCUUCAUUUUAAUCUUACUUUGAUUAGCCUAUGUGGGUUGGUUAAGAAUGAUGAGGGGAUGGUAUGUAAGAGUUGGGAAGUAGAGGGUCAAGACUAGGAGAAGACCUAGUUAACUAACCAACUUGUAAGCACAGCAAAGUAGUUUUUAAACUUUAAUAAAGUUUGAACACGUUAACUAGAUUAUCAAACACGAACAUUAUGAACUGAGAAUUAAGACAACUUAAACCAAUAUAUGAAGUCGAUAUGUGGCUAAUUGGUGAGUUAUCAUGAAUGAACUGUGUAAGCUAUUUGAAGAGCAAGUUAGCGUAAACUAUUAACGAACACACAUAAGGCAAGUAUCCCUAAACUUUUUACAAGUUUUCUAAAUUCAAUUGACAUAUGUUCUUAUGAAUGUUAUAUGAUGAUUUGAGAUUCAAAUUUACUCCAUGCUUGCAUAUAGUGUAAAUUCUAAAGCUUAUACAAAUAUUUAUAUUUGUACAAGUUGUUCAGCUAUGUAAAGCUACAAAUUGCUAAUUUUCAAAAUUCUGUAUGCAUGAAUUGUUUAAGAAGAUUGUCGAUGCCAAUUGUUCCGGCUAGACAGAAGUUAAAAUAUUUUAUCGAUGUGAUAUUAAAUUUUUAAAAUAUUAUUGAUGUUAAGUAGAGCUACUCAAACCAAAUUGUUUUGGUGAGGAUUAUAAUGUAAAUCUGAGAAGAACCACCCUAUUAUUAGGGGAAGUUUUGGCCGGUAAUACCGAUCAACCGUGUUGGGUGAUAAUCAAACGCAUAUAGUCGUUUAAAGUAGAAUGUUGAUCAACAUAGGGUACAAUAGGUUGAUCACCUAGCGUGUCCCGAAGACAAACGGUUUAUAGUUGAAUUACUGUUAAACCUUUUACAAAAAGAAAAGUUCAAGGUCUUAUGACCGCUUAGAAUGUCGUUUCAAAAAUGUUUUAAACGAAAGCAAAGUUAUUAUUCCUAUUUAUUCGAGGUUAUUUCACAACUAUUGUUCAGUUGUUUAAGUGUUCAGAGAAAGAAGCUAUGAUUCUCGACUUUGUAGUUAUUACAACUGUUAUACUUGUUGAGCAAUUAAAUGCUUAUUUUUGCUUUAAAUUAAAUGUUUUCAGCGAAGCCAAAACGUAUAGAAGGUUUCGAUCAUGACAAAGAAAAGGGAAAGAUGAACGAAUAAAAGAAGUGUACCUUUUGUAAUAGAUAGGAUGGUUAUAAUAUAUAUUAUGUAUAUUAUUAUGUAUGAAGAUUUAAAGGUCUGAGAACCUGGGAUUUAGAGCAAGACAUAUUGUAAAUUUGUAAUAGUAUAACAAUUACAUUUAUGUCAUUAUUAUAUACCGUGUAGCACCAAAUUCGAAUUUGAAAGUACCCGGAUUUUGGGACGUCACAGUCUGUGCCAUCCUAGAGAAGAGGUUUUAAGACUUGGGAACCUUGUAAUUAAGAACACGUCUAUGGCAAGUUAAUGAUUAUGGUGCGUCUCUUUGGAAAUAGACUACUUUUUGACAUUAGAUGAUUAUAAGCAAGUAUCAAAUUCCAGCAAAAUGGGUGGGAUGCUGGAAGUUCAUUUUUAGGAGAUUUAAAUCAGAAGGAAACAAAGGAAUUUCAUUUAUUUAUUCAGCUUCUUAAAUCAGCUCUAUUUCUCAGGCCAAUAGCAUGUUUGGGGAGUUUUGAUCACUAUGUAAUCUUCUCUUAUUGAUCUUUUCACUUACUAGGUUAUUGUCCCAUGCUUUAUUGUCCUCUAAUUUCUUAUAUUUGCAAGGCAAAGUUACCUUAAAAUUUAAUGCUUUUGUGACCCUUGACCGGCUUAAAAUCAAUGACAUGCAUCGCAGUGUAGACCUUACAUAUCUUUCCUCUCCAAAUGUGUGUUCUGCAAGUGUAUGCAGGAAAGUGAACCAUUGUCCUCUGUUUGUCUGUAGUACGUCUCUU